UGUGUAGGCGGUCCUCUAAGUUUGGUGUGAAAUCUCCCGGCUCAACUGGGAGGGUGCGCCGAAGACUGGAGGGCUAGAGUGCGGGAUGGGAGAGUGGAAUUCCUGGUGUAGCGGUGAAAUGCGUAGAUAUCAGGAGGAACACCUGUGGUGUAGACGGCUCUCUGGACCGCAACUGACGCUGAGACACGAAAGCGUGGGUAGCAAACA
Molecule: ribosomal RNA, 207 nt
Filed under: uncultured bacterium
Lineage: Bacteria
Description: partial 16S ribosomal RNA
Rfam family: Bacterial small subunit ribosomal RNA
Source: RNAcentral